Molecule: long non-coding RNA, 1801 nt
Organism: Lagopus muta (rock ptarmigan)
Lineage: Eukaryota; Metazoa; Chordata; Aves; Galliformes; Phasianidae
Exons: 6
Source: RefSeq, a predicted model, not a curated record
CUUCAGCUCCCUAGAUGUGAGGAUGCAGACACUUGCCACCAGGCUGUUUCCUAAGGUUCAUUACAGCCCUGCUUAUUGCCAGGAAGCAUUACAGCUUUGUGCUUGCAGCAGCUUUAAAGGCAGAUGAAAGCCAUCGUACCAGGGUACCCCAGAGGCACACCAAGUGCAUCAUCCCAGGUGACCUUUGGGGCUGGGAAGAAGCUGCAGUUUUCCACUAGCAUCCAUGAGUCAACACGAGCAUCAAGUCACAGCAGCACGCCAAACCUCAUUUAUCAUUCCAUUUAAGGUGUCAGCAGAGCCAUUAUUCAAAUGGAUGGCCACACAUGCAAUCAAUCUUUAAUGAAACAAUAAUUGCACCUUCCACUCUGCAAGACCUCUGCCUUUCUUAAAGCUGGAUAUUUUGUCUUCUGUUUAUUCCUGGAAUCACUGGCAGCUUAGUUGGAAAAGGAUAUUGCAAUGGCCUGGUACCCUGAUCUGUUUGCACUGAUGUCCCCACGGAGGGGACACAGAGAGCUGGCUGGGAGAAGAAAAUGAACAGUUCUAUUUAUGCAGCACGUAAAUGAUCACGGAGAAAGAACGAUUUCCAUUUGCCUACAUUCUUUCCUGCUCUCAUCUGCCCCAGGUCAGAGUCUCCCUGUGCUGAGCGAGGGCACAGACCUGGCUCAUGUUGGAGGGGUGAUGCAUUGCUGACAUCCCAUGGCUGACACCCAGGUGGGCUCACAGCCCUGGCCAUAAGGAGCUGUCCUGGAGCAAAGCCCUGGAGCACUGCAGCGGGUGCUGCUCUGUGCAGGAGCUCCCAUCUUCCCUCAGCACGUGUCCCUGCGUGAGAUCUGGAGUCUUUCAAGUCUGGAUAUGGGAGUGAUGCUGUGCACAAGCCUUGGCUUGGUUUCUGCAAAAGCUCAUUCUGAAAAGAAGGGGUUUUUAUAUAUCCUCCCAUCUUUCCUUCUGCUACACAAACGUACUCUCUCAGUGCAGAUAAUUAAACAUGCUCACACAUCCCCAAAGCAGAGCAGCUCAGGUGUGACCAAACGUGCCCGUUCCUGCAUUUCACCCUUUGAAAGCUUCACAAAUCAAAGAGACUCACUUUCAGACAGUGAUGAAUUGCUUACGCUCCCAUGUGUUUGCUUGGAGUCCUCCUUUAAGAAAAUGUGAAUGUUUUUGCUGGCUGUGAAAGUGUGGGGGAGAUGCUCCAGUCCUCUCGAGGUGUGAGGAGCAAGCUGGCAUCCAUCUCCAUCCCCAUAACGCUGCACUGGGGGGUUCAUAGCCACACUCCAGGCUGUGUGGGUAUGGAGCUUUGUCACAACACUUCAUCCCAGCUUGGCUGGAUCCCCUUUCCUUUUUAAACCCCAACUGCUUUGCUUCUGAUCUGACCUGCUUCAUCUCCCUGGCUCUGUCUUUCCCUGUGAUGGCUGCUGCAUGUGAUUUGCUUUUACAUGGGCCUAAAUCUGGAUUGAUGAUCUGCCCCAUCCUCUGAAGAGCUGUAUCACAGCGAUGACAUUUCAGAGCCAGUGUAUCACUACACACAGACUUGCCGAAGCACUUCCUCAGCUCCCCUCCCUCCUAACAAUGCAUUACUUAAGAAAAUUAAAGUUGAAGCAGGUAUGUGACCAUCCUUCUGAUUCAGGGGGCCGUGCACCAGAGACGUUGCUGGAAUAAGGAAGGCUAGCAUUGCCUUUGCUCAGAUCCUUCUGGCAGCACUUAUCAAUUAUUUGGGUCCGCAUUAUGAAGCAAAGGCUCUGUGCCAUGACACCAGUUGUUGCUGACAGCUGGAAUCUCAGGUCCCCUUGAUCAUGUGGGCUUU